AUUGAACGCUGGCGGCAGGCCUAACACAUGCAAGUCGAACGGUAACAGGAAGAAGCUUGCUUCUUUGCUGACGAGUGGCGGACGGGUGAGAAAUGUCUGGGAAACUGCCUGAUGGAGGGGGAUAACUACUGGAAACGGUAGCUAAUACCGCAUAACGUCGCAAGACCAAAGAGGGGGAGCUUCGGGCCUCUUGCCAUCGGAUUUGCCCAGAUGGGAUUAGCUAGUAGGUGGGGUAACGGCUCACCUAGGCGACGAUCCCUAGCUGGUCUGAGAGGUUGACCAGCCACACUGGAACUGAGACACGGUCCAGACUCCUACGGGAGGCAGCAGUGGGGAAUAUUGCGCAAUGGGCGCAAGCCUGAUGCAGCAAUGCCGCGUGUAUGAAGAAGGCCUUCGGGUUGUAAAGUACUUUCAGCGGGGAGGAAGGGAGUUAAGUUAAUACCUGUGCUCAUUGACGUUACCCGCAGAAGAAGCACCGGCUAACUCCGUG
RNAcentral lists this ribosomal RNA (490 nucleotides) under uncultured bacterium. RNAcentral describes it as "partial 16S ribosomal RNA". It matches the Rfam family "Bacterial small subunit ribosomal RNA", at positions 30 to 507 of the family's 1533-position model. The record is from RNAcentral.